AGUCCCUAAUAUUAAAUUGUUACACUACAGUCUCUCCUUUCCAAUUUCCAUUUAUGUUUACUCUCUACCCAUUCAAUUGCAAUUUUCCUCUUCCAAACUCGGUCGUUAUUUUUCGAGUGAAAUUGGAAGUAAAAUCCAAUCGCCAGAUUUCUGGCAAAUGUGAAAUCGUUACCGCAGUCCUGUUGCUCAAAGUCCCGCGAACGCGAAGAUGUAUUUCUCUCUGUUUGGCACAGCCGUCUUGAAGAAAGCCCUUCAUCUCUGGCGAAGACCUACACCGUUGUUUUUGAAAGGUUAGAAUCUCUUUUUUUUUCCGAAUGGAUACAAGUUCUCAAAGGUAUUUCGUGAUAAAUGUUAUGGUUCUUUAUAUUGUUUUCUAACUAAAUUAAUUGAUAUUUUUUCUGAAUUUUUUUAUAGUCUGGUUCUUGAUUGUCAUAGCCUUAAAAAUCCUUUUAUUUUUAAAUUAUUUUAUGAAUACUAAAUAAUAUGUUGUAAAUGGUUAGUAAGGAGUUGUCUUAAUUUCUCUUCUUCGAAAUAGCUGUGGUUGUGUGGGUAUGUUGUGAUUUUCCCGCAGUAGGAAACAGAGACGAAACCCAGAACGGGUGACUCAAGCAGGCAGUGACACAAGCUGCGAGGGUUGGUUCAUCCGGCGGUCAGUGUUUGGCUACAUCGUUGGAUCAACGGCUGACUCAGUCUUUGAAGAAAUUAUGCACUUUAAGUACCUGAAUUGAUUUGAUUUGGUAUAUGGUCCAAUCAGUGUUAAAGAGCCUUCUACAGUAUAUUUUAGAUGUUGCGUGGUGACAUUUCCAAAGGAUUUUGGAUGGUGGCUAUGAUAGGGGCUCAAUAACGGCUAAUAUUUUAACCAACUCAUUUCUCACUUACUUUACCAUCCACAAGUGAGAAUGGACACUUGAGGUAUUGAUGUAAAAUGUCCCCUGCUACUUUAUUGUAAAUUUGUAUACUUCUUCUUUGGAUAAGUUUCAAGUAUGGGUGUGAAUACUAUCGUAUGGAAUUCAUCUCGAUAAAUGUAUCACGAGUAAUUAUAUGGUUCUUAAAAUGAUCGAUUU
Andrographis paniculata is the source of this 1064-nucleotide long non-coding RNA. RefSeq lists it as uncharacterized. The transcript is spliced from 3 exons. The record is from RefSeq and is a predicted model, not a curated record. NCBI's taxonomy places the organism in Eukaryota, Viridiplantae, Streptophyta, Magnoliopsida, Lamiales, Acanthaceae.